Molecule: ribosomal RNA, 460 nt
Filed under: uncultured bacterium
Lineage: Bacteria
Description: partial 16S ribosomal RNA
Rfam family: Bacterial small subunit ribosomal RNA
Source: RNAcentral
CCUACGGGAGACAGCAGUGAGGAAUAUUGGUCAAUGGACGAGAGUCUGAACCAGCCAAGUAGCGUGAAGGAUGACUGCCCUAUGGGUUGUAAACUUCUUUUAUAUGGGAAUAAAACGUUCCACGUGUGGGAUUUUGUAUGUACCAUAUGAAUAAUGAUCGGCUAACUCCGUGCCAGCAGCCGCGGUAAUACGGAGGAUCCGAGCGUUAUCCGGAUUUAUUGGGUUUAAAGGGAGCGUAGGUGGAUUGUUAAGUCAGUUGUGAAAGUUUGCGGCUCAACCGUAAAAUUGCAGUUGAAACUGGCAGUCUUGAGUACAGUAGAGGUGGGCGGAAUUCGUGGUGUAGCGGUGAAAUGCUUAGAUAUCACGAAGAACUCCGAUUGCGAAGGCAGUUCACUGGACUGCAACUGACACUGAGGCUCGAAAGUGUGGGUAUCAAACAGGAUUAGAUACCCUGGUAGUC